RNA transcript from Sorex araneus (European shrew), 3912 nucleotides. It is a transcript of the gene named septin 2, with no coding region annotated. The record is from RefSeq and is a predicted model, not a curated record. The transcript is spliced from 13 exons. NCBI's taxonomy places the organism in Eukaryota, Metazoa, Chordata, Mammalia, Eulipotyphla, Soricidae.
CGGCGGCGGCUAGAGGCUCCCGCCGGCCGCUCGUCCUCGCCCGCCCAGCCCGGCCUUGGCGCUGCCCGCUCGGUGCUGCCGCCAUCUUCCCGGAGGAGAGCCCCGGGCUCCCCGCCGCGGCCGCCCUCGCCCCGGCCGCCCCCCGCGUGCCCCCGCCGGCGUCCCUCUGCGCGUCGGCAGCCACCGGCCUCGCCUCCGGGGACGUCCUUGCUGCCCGCCGCGGCGACCCCCUGGGCGCGGACUCGCGAUACCUGCUCCACUCUUCUCCGCGUCAGGAGCCGAGCUCAUAAGUGUGUGGAUGCCAGCUGAGCCUUUCAAAACUCCAGCUCCUGCUAACCCUGUGCCUGUGUGUUAGACAGAUCGACAACUCUUCACUGAAGAUGUCCAAGCAACAACCAGCUCAGUUUAUAAAUCCAGAGACUCCUGGCUAUGUUGGGUUUGCAAACCUUCCCAAUCAGGUUCACCGGAAGUCUGUGAAGAAAGGCUUUGAGUUCACACUGAUGGUAGUUGGUGAAUCUGGCCUGGGAAAAUCGACUCUGAUUAACAGCCUGUUCCUGACCGAUCUCUACCCGGAAAGGAUCAUCCCAGGAGCCGCAGAGAAAAUCGAGAGAACCGUCCAGAUUGAGGCUUCGACUGUGGAGAUAGAAGAGCGCGGGGUGAAGCUGCGCCUGACGGUGGUGGACACGCCUGGCUACGGGGACGCCAUCAACUGCAGGGAUUGUUUUAAGACCAUCAUCUCCUACAUUGAUGAGCAGUUCGAACGGUACCUGCACGACGAGAGCGGCCUGAACCGCCGGCACAUCAUCGACAACAGGGUGCACUGCUGCUUCUAUUUCAUCUCGCCCUUCGGACACGGGCUGAAGCCCCUGGAUGUGGCCUUCAUGAAGGCGAUUCACAACAAGGUGAACAUCGUGCCUGUCAUCGCCAAGGCCGACACCCUCACGCUGAAGGAGCGGGAGCGCCUCAAGAAGAGGAUUCUGGAUGAAAUUGAGGAGCACAAUAUCAAAAUCUAUCACUUACCUGAUGCAGAAUCUGAUGAGGAUGAAGAUUUUAAAGAGCAGACGAGACUCCUCAAGGCCAGCAUCCCGUUCUCUGUUGUCGGGUCCAAUCAGCUGAUUGAAGCUAAAGGCAAGAAGGUCAGAGGCCGCCUCUACCCGUGGGGCGUCGUGGAGGUGGAGAACCCUGAGCACAACGACUUCUUGAAGCUGAGGACGAUGCUCAUCACGCACAUGCAGGACCUCCAGGAGGUGACCCAAGACCUUCACUACGAAAACUUCCGCUCCGAGAGACUCAAGAGAGGUGGCAGGAAAGUGGAAAACGAGGACAUGAAUAAAGACCAGAUCUUGCUGGAAAAGGAAGCUGAGCUCCGCCGCAUGCAGGAGAUGAUCGCAAGGAUGCAGGCGCAAAUGCAGCUGCAGAUGCAGGGGGGCGACGGCGACAGUGGGCCCCACAGCGGCCACCACGUGUAAGGUAAUGCGUCCCCGCUCUGCCCCAGGACCCAGUGCUCGGCUGCUCUGCAGAGGAAGGGUGGGAGCACUUCCCCCACGAGGGCCAAGCUGACAGCUGUCGAAACACCUCUUAGCCAGCCAGCUAGUCCAUUUGUUAGGACGGGGGGCGUGCGAGGCCUUGGUUUUGAUGCCCUGCACCAUGGUCAUCCCGAGCACCGCUGCAAGAGAAAGGCUGUACUAAGGUGUGCAGAAACAGCUGUGCAGAGCAGGUGAGGGCCACGGUCUCCACUCCGCACCGUGGUGUCUGCACCGUCCUGCAAGGAAGGGCCCUGGCACCGUAACCAGGAGUUCCGAGAGGCCAGUGUGUCCAUCUCCCUCCCCCUUCCCCUUCUCCAGAGGAUUGAGGCCUGGGAAGGUCAGGCAGGGGGGAGGUUUUCUGGUCUGGGCCGUGCAGGCCUGCUGGCUAGAAGGGAGCAUGGGUGUGUCAGGUACAGGAGGCUAGAAUCCUCUCAGACUCCACUGCCACCAAGGGCAGGAGACCUCAGCCUUGGAGGCAGCACGCAGACACACAGACACUCUGCAGUGCCUGGUCCCGAGAGAGUCCGUCUUGGCACCCCACAUCAGACUGACCAGAAGGAGGCUGGUGCCUAUGCACGAGGCUGUUAGACACGGGCCUGCGGUUGUGAGCUAGCUGGGGGCAGGACCUCCAAUGGGUGUCUCCAGGCCAGCCCGGUGCCUGCGGGGGGUGGGGGGAGGAGGCACACUGGAGCCGAGCGUGGUGGAUGGUGGCUUCUCUGAUUGUGCUUCUCCUCUUUUUAACACUUCCAUGUGGAAUGAUGAGAAUUCCACGAUACACUCUUCAACACAGAGGAGACGUUCUGGCUGGGUCCGACAGCUGCACGUUUCAUGAGCCCCCGGAGGGUCGCCCACUCGCAUUUCAUGGUCCCCAUGCCUGAGGGGCAUCUGUCAUGGUCGAUGUGCUGAUUUCCACACAGCACUCGCAGCAUUUGUAUUUCAUUGUCCUGUCAUACUUUCUAUUUUGUGAGGUAAAUUUUUCAUUCUUCUACCUAAACUAAUCACUGAUCCUAGAAUUGAUUCUCAGUAUUAGUAUAUAUACAUAUAUAUAUAUAUAUAUAUAUAUAUAUAUAUAUAUAUAUAUAUAGUUAAUGUUGAAUUUCCUUGAUUUGACUGGCCACACUGGUAAUUGAGGAGCACCCUUGAUUUAUUUCUAGAACAUUCAGAUUUCCCCUGAUGGUAGAGAUGUGGACACAGCAGUAAAGAAAGACAAGCACAGGCUGGGCUCUGUGGGAGUCUCGCGUUGGUCGAGCACAGCAUCAGAUGCCCUAAUCCCACCCCAGUAGUCCAUCUGCCCAGUUGUUUACCAGAUGAAACAGAAUUGUGAUACAUGUGUUUAUACUUAGAUGGUUUUUUUGAAAGACACAUAAGGGUGAAUUUCAGGAGUUUUCCAGAUUCUGUUAUUACAUUAUUUUUAAAUCCCCUGUGCAGCGUCUUACCACAAACCACUCUUGCAGAUUUCCUCUGAUCCUGCUUAUACUCUUAGGAGAGAAUCUAAAGGCUCCGGUUUUCAUAUAUAACCGAGCAUCAUCACUGUUUUUACUCUGAUUAAAAGUCUUUUUAAGGAAAACUCACAAUUGAGAUAUUGGUACACCAGCCUUUUCCUGUUUUCAUACUGGACUGCACUUGAACAGCAUCUCUGUGACCCAGGGCGGGGCAUCCCCCUGCUGUGACACCAGCAUCUGGUGCUGGCCCUCAACCCAGACCAGCCGUGGGCCCUGCAGCCUUGGCAUGGUGCAGCCGUCUCCCGGGAGCCCUGGAGUCCUGGUGUCUCUCUGAGGGAGCAGAGGGCAGCAGGCACGUGUGGCAGCGUCUGUCUUGUCCAUCUCCGUGCAGACGGUGCUCUGAGACUCCCGAGGGUUAUUUGACAGGUGUCCCCGUGGGGCCACCCCUGGUCUCUUCCCCCCAGGCCCUCCCAGCUAGCAUUCCUGUGGUGCACCCCAGGGGCAUUUCUGCCCACUCACAGGCCAAGGGGUUAAUCUGGGCCAGAGCAGGAGGAGAGGGAGGCCGUGGGAGUCUGCAGACUGGGGCUCUCAGUCUGCCUGUGUCGCAUGUUGGUCUGGGCGCGUUGCAGAGUCCCGCACGGGAGAGUGCGGCGUCCUGGCCGUGCCGGUGCACUUCACCCUUCUGCCUGCCGACAGGUAACUGCUCUUUCUUUCUAAGAGGUCGUCUUUACCUGUAGGGUGUAUUCUGAGAGUCUGAGUGGAUAGGAAUUAAACCACCCCCUGGUUUGAUUCCCAACAUCACCCGGUCCCCCAAAUACCUCCAGGUGUGGCCCAGAACCUCUCUUUCCCCUUAGGGAAAAUGUAUUUUGAAUACUUAAUUUUACACAGCAGUUUGUAUUCACUAAAACUAACCUUUUAUCAAUAAAGUACUAUUGUUUAGAUAA